RNAcentral lists this transfer RNA (84 nucleotides) under Armillaria gallica. It matches the Rfam family "tRNA". From Rfam's summary of the family: Transfer RNA (tRNA) molecules are approximately 80 nucleotides in length. Lineage: Eukaryota; Fungi; Basidiomycota; Agaricomycetes; Agaricales; Physalacriaceae. The record is from Rfam by way of RNAcentral.
GCCGUCGUAGCGCAAUGGUAGCGCGUCGCUUUCCUAAUUGAAAUAUCAAGGCGAAGGUUGCGAGUUCGAUCCUCGUCGUCGGUA